Molecule: long non-coding RNA, 392 nt
Filed under: Marmota monax (woodchuck)
Lineage: Eukaryota; Metazoa; Chordata; Mammalia; Rodentia; Sciuridae
Source: RNAcentral
AAAAAAUAAAGAUGAAUUUUAUAUUUUGAUUUUAAAUGGAAGGCAGAGAUAUGCAAGUCAUAUAGUACUUCACAAACCUUAUUUCAGUUACAAAAGCAUAAUCAAUUGAUAACUUCUACUCUCUACCUUACAAAAGUAUAAUCAAUUGAUAACUUCUUUACUCUCUACCUUCCUUGGCAUUUCACCUGAGGUCAUACUUGUAGAGUGUGACCAAUAACUAAGCAAUUGACUAACCAAGACGAUAGUCACUGAAGUUACUCUCUUUCUCAGAAAACCCCAAUCAAUUUCAGAGCAAAGGUGGGAUACAACACCUAUUCAUUUCCUUCUUUGGGAAAGGGUCCCUUUUGCGAAUCAGAUAGAAGAGGAAAUUGGCUAACCUCUUUCAAAGUAUU